Molecule: ribosomal RNA, 446 nt
Filed under: uncultured bacterium
Lineage: Bacteria
Description: partial 16S ribosomal RNA
Rfam family: Bacterial small subunit ribosomal RNA
Source: RNAcentral
CCUACGGGAGGCAGCAGUAGAGAAUCAUGCACAAUAGGGGAAACCCUGAUGGGGCGACGCCGCGUGGGGGAAUGAAGGUCUUCGGAUUUUAAACCCCUGUCAUGUGGGAGCAAAUUAAAAAGAUAGUACCACAAGAGAAAGAGACGGCUAACUCGGUGCCAGCAUCCGCCGUAAUACAGAGGUCUCAAGCGUUGUUAGGAAUCACUGGGCGUAAAGCGUGCGUAGGGUGUUUCGUAAGUCGUGUGUGAAAGGCGCGGGCUCAACCCGCGGACGGCACAGGAUACGUCGAGACUAGAGUAAUGGAGGGGGAACUGGAAUUCUCGGUGUAGCAGUGAAAUGCGUAGAUAUCGAGAGGAACACUCGUGGCGAAGGCGGGUUCCUGGACAUUAACUGACGCUGAGGCACGAAGGCCAGGGGAGCGAAAGGGAUUAGAUACCCCGGUAGUC